This 908-nucleotide ribosomal RNA is filed under the name Curvularia trifolii. Its description in RNAcentral is "LSU rRNA". It matches the Rfam family "Eukaryotic large subunit ribosomal RNA", at positions 38 to 964 of the family's 3401-position model. The record is from RNAcentral. Lineage: Eukaryota; Fungi; Ascomycota; Dothideomycetes; Pleosporales; Pleosporaceae.
GCAUAUCAAUAAGCGGAGGAAAAGAAACCAACAGGGAUUGCCCUAGUAACGGCGAGUGAAGCGGCAACAGCUCAAAUUUGAAAUCUGGCUCUUUCAGAGUCCGAGUUGUAAUUUGCAGAGGGCGCUUUGGCUUUGGCAGCGGUCCAAGUUCCUUGGAACAGGACGUCACAGAGGGUGAGAAUCCCGUACGUGGUCGCUAGCUAUUGCCGUGUAAAGCCCCUUCGACGAGUCGAGUUGUUUGGGAAUGCAGCUCUAAAUGGGAGGUAAAUUUCUUCUAAAGCUAAAUAUUGGCCAGAGACCGAUAGCGCACAAGUAGAGUGAUCGAAAGAUGAAAAGCACUUUGGAAAGAGAGUCAAACAGCACGUGAAAUUGUUGAAAGGGAAGCGCUUGCAGCCAGACUUGCUUGCAGUUGCUCAUCCGGGCUUUUGCCCGGUGCACUCUUCUGCAGGCAGGCCAGCAUCAGUUUGGGCGGUGGGAUAAAGGUCUCUGACACGUUCCUUCCUUCGGGUUGGCCAUAUAGGGGAGACGUCAUACCACCAGCCUGGACUGAGGUCCGCGCAUCUGCUAGGAUGCUGGCGUAAUGGCUGUAAGCGGCCCGUCUUGAAACACGGACCAAGGAGUCUAACAUCUAUGCGAGUGUUUGGGUGUCAAGCCCGAGCGCGUAAUGAAAGUGAACGGAGGUGGGAACCCGCAAGGGCGCACCAUCGACCGAUCCUGAAGUUUACGGAAGGAUUUGAGUAAGAGCAUGGCUGUUGGGACCCGAAAGAUGGUGAACUAUGCUUGAAUAGGGUGAAGCCAGAGGAAACUCUGGUGGAGGCUCGCAGCGGUUCUGACGUGCAAAUCGAUCGUCAAAUUUGGGCAUAGGGGCGAAAGACUAAUCGAACUAUCUAGUAGCUGGUCCCUGCCGA